AUACCUUUCUCGGCCUUUUGGCUAAGAUCAAGUGUAGUAUCUGUUCUUAUCAGUUUAAUAUCUGAUAUGUGGGCCAUGUGCCCACUUCGAUGUUAAAUUUAUUUGUUGUGGGGGAGGGCCCACCACAGUGGCUAGCCACUGGGGCCCUCGCGCGUUGCACUGCUGCCCGGGCCUGGCGCACCCCAA
This 186-nucleotide small nuclear RNA is filed under the name Oryza barthii. Its description in RNAcentral is "snRNA U2". It matches the Rfam family "U2 spliceosomal RNA". From Rfam's summary of the family: U2 is a small nuclear RNA (snRNA) component of the spliceosome (involved in pre-mRNA splicing). Complementary binding between U2 snRNA (in an area lying towards the 5' end but 3' to hairpin I) and the branchpoint sequence (BPS) of the intron results the bulging out of an unpaired adenosine, on the BPS, which initiates a nucleophilic attack at the intronic 5' splice site, thus starting the first of two transesterification reactions that mediate splicing. The record is from Rfam by way of RNAcentral. Lineage: Eukaryota; Viridiplantae; Streptophyta; Magnoliopsida; Poales; Poaceae.